Molecule: ribosomal RNA, 1043 nt
Filed under: Escherichia coli
Lineage: Bacteria; Pseudomonadati; Pseudomonadota; Gammaproteobacteria; Enterobacterales; Enterobacteriaceae
Description: partial 23S ribosomal RNA
Rfam family: Bacterial large subunit ribosomal RNA
Source: RNAcentral
AGGGGAGUGAAAAAGAACCUGAAACCGUGUACGUACAAGCAGUGGGAGCACGCUUAGGCGUGUGACUGCGUACCUUUUGUAUAAUGGGUCAGCGACUUAUAUUCUGUAGCAAGGUUAACCGAAUAGGGGAGCCGAAGGGAAACCGAGUCUUAACUGGGCGUUAAGUUGCAGGGUAUAGACCCGAAACCCGGUGAUCUAGCCAUGGGCAGGUUGAAGGUUGGGUAACACUAACUGGAGGACCGAACCGACUAAUGUUGAAAAAUUAGCGGAUGACUUGUGGCUGGGGGUGAAAGGCCAAUCAAACCGGGAGAUAGCUGGUUCUCCCCGAAAGCUAUUUAGGUAGCGCCUCGUGAAUUCAUCUCCGGGGGUAGAGCACUGUUUCGGCAAGGGGGUCAUCCCGACUUACCAACCCGAUGCAAACUGCGAAUACCGGAGAAUGUUAUCACGGGAGACACACGGCGGGUGCUAACGUCCGUCGUGAAGAGGGAAACAACCCAGACCGCCAGCUAAGGUCCCAAAGUCAUGGUUAAGUGGGAAACGAUGUGGGAAGGCCCAGACAGCCAGGAUGUUGGCUUAGAAGCAGCCAUCAUUUAAAGAAAGCGUAAUAGCUCACUGGUCGAGUCGGCCUGCGCGGAAGAUGUAACGGGGCUAAACCAUGCACCGAAGCUGCGGCAGCGACGCUGAUGCGUUGUUGGGUAGGGGAGCGUUCUGUAAGCCUGCGAAGGUGUGCUGUGAGGCAUGCUGGAGGUAUCAGAAGUGCGAAUGCUGACAUAAGUAACGAUAAAGCGGGUGAAAAGCCCGCUCGCCGGAAGACCAAGGGUUCCUGUCCAACGUUAAUCGGGGCAGGGUGAGUCGACCCCUAAGGCGAGGCCGAAAGGCGUAGUCGAUGGGAAACAGGUUAAUAUUCCUGUACUUGGUGUUACUGCGAAGGGGGGACGGAGAAGGCUAUGUUGGCCGGGCGACGGUUGUCCCGGUUUAAGCGUGUAGGCUGGUUUUCCAGGCAAAUCCGGAAAAUCAAGGCUGAGGCGUGAUGACGAGGCACU